RNAcentral lists this ribosomal RNA (460 nucleotides) under uncultured bacterium. Its description in RNAcentral is "partial 16S ribosomal RNA". It matches the Rfam family "Bacterial small subunit ribosomal RNA", at positions 338 to 795 of the family's 1533-position model. The record is from RNAcentral.
CCUACGGGAGGCUGCAGUGAGGAAUAUUGGUCAAUGGACGAGAGUCUGAACCAGCCAAGUAGCGUGAAGGAUGACUGCCCUAUGGGUUGUAAACUUCUUUUAUAUAGGAAUAAAGCGAGGCACGUGUGCCUCUUUGCAUGUACCUUAUGAAUAAGGAUCGGCUAACUCCGUGCCAGCAGCCGCGGUAAUACGGAGGAUCCGAGCGUUAUCCGGAUUUAUUUGGUUUAAAGGGAGCGUAGGUGGGUUGUUAAGUCAGUUGUGAAAGUUUGCGGCUCAACCGUAAAAUUGCAGUUGAUACUGGCAGUCUUGAGUACAGUAGAGGUAGGCGGAAUUCGUGGUGUAGCGGUGAAAUGCUUAGAUAUCACGAAGAACCCCGAUUGCGAAGGCAGCUUGCUGGACUGUAACUGACGCUGAUGCUCGAAAGUGUGGGUAUCAAACAGGAUUAGAUACCCCAGUAGUC